RNAcentral lists this unclassified non-coding RNA (260 nucleotides) under Glomeromycetes sp. RNAcentral's name for it is "partial contains 5.8S ribosomal RNA and internal transcribed spacer 2". The stretch from base 1 to 71 matches the Rfam family "5.8S ribosomal RNA", at positions 84 to 154 of the family's 154-position model. The record is from RNAcentral. Lineage: Eukaryota; Fungi; Glomeromycota; Glomeromycetes.
GUGAAUCAUCAAAUUUUUGAACGCAAAUUGCGCCCUCUGGCAUUCCGGAGAGUAUGCCUGUUUGAGGGUCAGUUUAAAUAAAAAUCGAGGUGUUGCUGUUUUGUGAUCCAUCGGAAUUGGGGUAGCUUUGACCUUUUAAAAAGCUUAAGUUACCUAAAAUUGAUAACUUGUGCAUCUCAGACGUACGUAAGAAUAUUUUUUUAUCAGUCCGUAGUUGCCAACUUUUUAUUAUGUAUGAGCAUGCUGUUUGUGUCAUCGUA